Molecule: ribosomal RNA, 443 nt
Filed under: uncultured bacterium
Lineage: Bacteria
Description: partial 16S ribosomal RNA
Rfam family: Bacterial small subunit ribosomal RNA
Source: RNAcentral
CCUACGGGUGGCAGCAGUGGGGAAUAUUGGGCAAUGGGCGCAAGCCUGACCCAGCAACGCCGCGUGAAGGAAGAAGGCUUUCGGGUUGUAAACUUCUUUUCUCAGGGACGAAGAAAGUGACGGUACCUGAGGAAUAAGCCACGGCUAACUACGUGCCAGCAGCCGCGGUAAUACGUAGGUGGCAAGCGUUAUCCGGAUUCACUGGGUGGAAAGGGCGUGUAGGCGGGACUGCAAGUCAGAUGUGAAAACCACGGGCUCAACAUGUGGCCUGCAUUUGAAACUGAAGGUCUUGAGUACUGGAGAGGCAGACGGAAUUCCUAGUGUAGCGGUGAAAUGCGUAGAUAUUAGGAGGAACACCAGUGGCGACGGCGUUCUGCUGGACAGCAACUGACGCUGAGGCGCGAAAGCGUGGGGAGCAAACAGGAUUAGAUACCCUAGUAGUC